CUAAAAGUAAGCAAGGGCGCAUGGCGGAUGCUUGGCUCUCGGAGGCGAUGAAGGACGUGAUAAGCUGCGAUAAGCUGCGGGUAGGUGCAAAUAACCUUUGAUCCGCGGAUUUCCGAAUGGGACAACCCGGUAUGUUGAAGACAUAUCAUCCAUCUUAGAUGGAGGCUAACACAGGGAACUGAAACAUCUUAGUACCUGUAGGAAAAGAAAAUAAAUAAUGAUUCCCCUAGUAGUGGCGAGCGAACGGGGAAUAGCCCAAACCAUUCAUGUUACGGCAUGAAUGGGGUUGUAGGACCACGUCGUGGGACGACAGUUAGUGAGUAGAAUGAUCUGGAAAGUUCAGUCAUAGACGGUGAUAACCCGGUAUACUAAGCUAAUUUAACCCUAGUGGUAUCCUGAGUAGCGCGGGACACGAGGAAUCUUGCGUGAAUCUGCCGGGACCAUCCGGUAAGGCUAAAUACUCCCGAGAGACCGAUAGCGAACCAGU
RNAcentral lists this ribosomal RNA (487 nucleotides) under Bacteroides stercorirosoris. RNAcentral's name for it is "partial 23S ribosomal RNA". It matches the Rfam family "Bacterial large subunit ribosomal RNA", at positions 1 to 499 of the family's 2925-position model. Lineage: Bacteria; Pseudomonadati; Bacteroidota; Bacteroidia; Bacteroidales; Bacteroidaceae. The record is from RNAcentral.